GAACGCUACAGGGUAUGGUUUUUUGGACUUUGAUUCAACUGCUUUGAACCUUGACUCCUUGAGGGCCAAAGUUAUUUAGCUGACUUUUUUUUGUUGACCUAACCUACCUACCUGCAGACCGUUGUUUACGUCGGUGGCGUACCGGCGUUAGGUAGGUUUUAAAAUUACGAGCAGAUGAAAACACGUUCUUUUAAUUUCAAGAGGUCCGACAAACAUUGUUUGGCUGGGUCUUUCUUCUUCUUGAGCGAGUAAUGAAGAUAUAAAUAGCCUAUAUAUAGCUAGGUUCAUGCAAGCAGGCAUAUCCACACUUGCAGAUUCAGCGCGUAUAUAUAUACACACACACACACGGUGCAUGCACAUUUGGGAGAUCACAAUGCAUGCAUGGUCGUACAAAGAAAUGAACAUCACAAUGCCCAUGUGUGUAGCACUGCCAGCGAACAGAUCUGCUAGAUUGUAAUCUGAACAAGAUCAAUUCCAGAUGAUGUGUUGUACUACGACAAAUUAACCACACACAAUCCACUCAGAACUCGGCAAAACCAAAUCGAGUUUGUAUGUUGUCCAAGGGAUCGGAUGAGAAUCGAAUGGGGACGGGUUUGAUUCGGCGUCAGCUUGGGUUGCAGCUCUGUUGUAGACGAACGGAUCAAUCCCACGAGUGUAGGCGCAGCCGCACGCGCAGGAACCCUCCGAGGACUCGCGAGCUCCGACCCCGGCACGCAGGGAGAGGACCGUCGUCGUCGUUGAGAAAACUCCUCACGAGCUCGGUGCGCGCGGCCGCUUCCAGUCGGAGCUGGCCCGGCCGGCGGGGAUAUGCAUGAUUCUGUCGAUCGGGUACGGUGGUGUCGGCCGUGCCGCCCCAGGCCGAUCGACGCGUCGCCGUGGGUUGAUUUGGUGGCUUUUAUUCCGUGACGGCGUGAUGCUCUUUAUACCGCCGCGGGGAUGAGCUUGUCACCGAUGCUGGGAAAGCUAGGUUUCCCCUCCGGCCGGCUUCCGGGAAGGCGAGGCACAGACAGACACAGACACGUAUGCCGGCCGGCCGUUGGGGUAGCGUACUACGGCCCAUCGUAAAUCAAUCGUGUGUGCAUGCAGACGGCCACGUUGCUGCUGCAUGUGCAUACGUCACGCGCUGCUCAGCUUCUUGGGCCUUGUUAAGUUCAAAUUUUUUUUAUAUAUUUUCCUUCAUAUUAAAUCUUAUGAUACAUUUAAAAUAGAGGGCAACAAAUCAAACCAAUUACAGUACAAAAGGGUGCUCCAUGCCUCUACCGUCAUUCAAUGCAGCCUCUACCGUCUCGGGUGCUUCUGAUAGUGAUUGUAAAUGCACGAUGUAUUCCUCAAUAGCAACAGUUGUAUACAUAUAGACCACAUGGGGAGCCUGGUACGGCAGGUCCAUGGGCCGUGACACGUUUACAAUCUAACACCCCCGCAGUCGGAACUGGGAGCACUGCGAACAUUAAGACUGGAUCUAAACUCAACAAAGACGGACGUCGGGAGCCCUUUGAUGAAGAUGUCGGCAUACUGUGAAGUAGUAGGGACAUGCAAUACUCGAACUUCUCCAAGGGCCACACGGUCACGAACGAAGUGUAAGUCAAUCUCCACAUGCUUGGUUCGCUGGUGCUGAACGGGGUUGGUAGACAAAUAAACGGCACUGACAUUGUCGCAAUACACAACUGUAGCUCGACGAAGAGGACAAUGGAGUUCAAGCAGAAGCUGGCGUAGCCAACACGCCUCCGCAACCCCAUUGGCGACAGCGCGAUACUCGGGCUCAGCACUGGAUCUAGACACUGUUCCUUGACGCUUGGAGGACCAUGAGACCAAAUUAUCACCCAGGAAGACUCCAUAACCAGAAGUAGAACGGCGAGUCUCAGGGCAACCGGCCCAAUCAGCAUCAGAGUACACGGUAAGAUCAGCAGGCGAGGUACGUCGGAGGUGAAAUCCAAGAUCCAAAGUACCCUGUAUAUAGCGCAGGAUGCGCUUCAUGGCGGCAAGAUGAGGCUCUCUCGGAUCAUGCAUAUAUAAACAAAUUUGCUGAACUACAUAGGCAAUAUCAGGACGGGUGAAAGUAAGAUACUGAAGGGCGCCGGCGAUGCUGCGGUAAUGUGAAGGAUCAGUCACAGGAGCACCAUCAGCAGGCAGCUUGGCAUGAGUAUCAACAGGUGUGCUGCAAGGCUUGCAGUCACGCAUACCAGCACGGUCCAGAAUAUCCAGCAUGUAUUGUUUCUGAGAGAGGAACAACUCAUCCGAGCGGCGAUCAACAGAGACACCCAGAAAAUGGUGAAGAGCACCCAUAUCAGUCAUAGAAAAUUCCUGUUGCAGAGCUGCGAUGAUGCGCUGAAGGAAACUCUGUGACGAGGCAGUGAGAACAAUAUUAUCCACAUAGAGAAGCAAGAACGCCGUGUCGGCACCCCGGCGAUAGAUGAACAGGGAGGUAUCUGCUUUGGCCUCAACAAACCCAAGGGAGGUGAUGUGUCGGGCGAAGCGACUAUGCCAUGCUCGAGGGGCCUGCUUCAAUCCAUAUAAGGACUUAUUCAAUCUGCACACAAAAUCAGGCUUGGAGGAAUCAACAAACCCAGUUGGCUGCUGGCAGUACACAGUUUCUGUCAAAAUCCCGUGAAGAAAAGCAUUCUUGACGUCCAGCUGGUGAAUGGGCCAAGAACGUGACAGAGCAAGUGUGAGCACAACACGGACAGUGGCCGGCUUAACGACCGGGCUGAAAGUUUCCUCGUAGUCAAUACCAGGCCGCUGAGUGAAGCCCCGGAGAACCCACCUGGCCUUGUAACGAUCAAAAGAACCAUCAGCCAAAAAUUUGUGACGAAAAACCCAUUUACCGGUGACAAUGUUCACUCCAGAGGGUCGAGGCACCAAGGUCCAUGUGUCAUUGGCCAGGAGGGCGUCGAAGGGCAGAGUAGAAGUCGUGCGACCCCCCCCUACUGGCAACAACCUGUGACAUGGAGUCAGCAGGGGCAGCAGAGGGUUCCGCGGUCGGUGCCAUGCGUGCCCCUCCACUGGCAGCAGCCUGCGACGCAGGGGCAGCAGAGGGGUCCGAGGGUCCAGCCGUCGUUUGCGAGGGUGCUGGCGCCUGAGCAGCAGCCGCACCAGCGCCAGGUGAGUCCUGGACGUGGGGCGGUGUGACCGCGGCGGACGAAGCGCCGCCAGCGGGUGCCUGCGAGCCGCCCGGGCUGGAGUCAAGCUCGACAGCGGGCAGCGCACCGGCUGGUGAUCCAUCGGGGGUCGGCGCGUGCGGCGGUGUACCUGCAACCACAGAACUAGGCCCGAUGGGCAUAGUCGAAAAGUCAUCCUCGCUCAAGAAGUCAAGAGUGGCUGGAUCCGAAGGAGAGGUGGACAUGGCUGAGAAAGGGAACACGGACUCGUCAAACACUACAUGUCGAGAGAUGAUAAUUCGGUUAGAGUGUAGGUCGAGGCAGCGAUAACCCUUGUGAUCGGAUGAGUAGCCCAAAAAGACGCAAAGUGAUGAGCGAGGAGCCAAUUUGUGUGGUGCGGUGGAAGAUAAAUUGGGAUAGCAAGCACACCCAAAAACACGAAGAUGUGAAUAUGUGGGAUGCGUGCCAUAGAGAGCAUAGAACGGGGUUAGGCCAUCCAGAGUCUUGGUGGGGUGACGAUUGAGAAGGUAUGUGGCGGUGUGGAGGGAGUCCGCCCAGUAGACUGGUGGGAGGCUAGCCUGGAACAAAAGCGAGCGCACGAUAUUGUUUAUGGUGCGAAGGGCGCGCUCGGCUUUACCGUUCUGUUGCGAAGUGUAGGGGCAGGACAUACGGAACAGGACGCCGUGGGAGAGGAAGAACGUGCGGGCCGAAGAGUUGUCGAACUCACGGCCAUUGUCGCACUGGACGGCCUUCACGACGGUGUCAAACUGUGUACGAACAUAGGUAAAUAAAUUAGAGAUGGUGGCAAAUGUGUCGGAUUUGAGGCGAAGCGGAAAUGUCCAAGCAUAAUGUGAAAAAUCAUCAAUAAUUACGAGAUAAUAUUUGUAACCUGACACGCUAGCAAUAGGAGAGGUCCAAAGGUCACAAUGUAUUAAAUCGAAUUUAUGAGUAGCACGAGAGCUAGAUAAGCUGAAAGGGAGGCGAACAUGGCGCCCUAACUGACAAGCAUGACAUAAAUGAUCAUGUUUGGGUUUAUUACAUGAAAUAGCCUGAGUGCUAAUAAGUUUGGACAAAGCAUCAGAACCAAGGUGUCCGAGACGACGAUGCCACAAGGUGGAUGUAGAGGCGGCUGCGAGAGCUGGUGUGCUGCUGCUGGUAGACGGGAAGAAUGGAUAGAGAUCUCCCGUGCUAUCGCACCUGGCGAUCACGCUCCGUGUCUGUAGAUCCUUCACAGAGAGGCCAAAAGGGUCAAACUCAAUAGAGCAAUUGUUAUCAAUUGUGAACCGACGAACGGAUAUCAAAUUCUUAAUAAUGCUAAGAGACACUAAGACAUUAUUGAGAACAAGAGGACGUUUUGGUGUAGGAAAAGAGUAUGAGCCAGUGGAAGUGAUGGGCAAAAGAGCACCAUUACCGACAAUAAUAGAUGAAGGAUCGGACAAGGAGGGUGAGCGAGGAGACGAGAGAAUACCAGUGUGGGCGGUCAUGUGAGAACCAGCCCCAGAAUCAGCAUACCACUCGGUAGGGGUUGACGGCGGCGUCAGGGUCAUCGUGUUGAAGUUGUUGAUGAGUGACGUCUGGUCGUAGGAACCGCCCGCCAUGGGGUUCCAUGCCGCGUACGGCGGCGUCGCAGCGCCGGACGAAGAAGAAGCCGACGAGCCAGCCACCGGGCCAUAGCCGAAGCCUGGGGGCGGUGGGGGCUGGUAGUACCCGCCGUGGUACGGUGCCAUGUGGAGGGCAGGCUGGGGCUGCUCGAAGGGCAUGUAGGGGCGCUGCAGCUGCUGUCCAGGGAGGCCGCCGAACCCGUGCGGCCAGAGCUGGAGAGUGCCGGACCAGGGGUUAUUCCCUGGCCGAGCAGGUGGAUGUCCAGCGCCCGACUGUCCAGCGCCCUGAGCGCCGCCUAUCUUGCCCUGGUUGGAGCCGCCGUUGCCGCCGCGGCCACGGCGGCGACGGUUGUUGUUGGAGCUGCCCGAGCCACCGCCCUGCACGUUGUUGGUGCAGCCGGUGCGCUGCGGCUGUUUGGCCGCGAGCAGUGCCUGCGUUUCCGACGGUGGUGCGGACGGCGCGUCGUCGAGGGAGUCGUUGACGUCGAUCUCUUCGAGGAGCAGCAAGGUGCGCGCCUCGGCGAACGUGGGGAAGGGUGAGCGCAUCUUCAGAUUGGACACCAUGUGCUUGUACUUCCCAUUGACGCCGCGCAGCAAGGUGAGGACAAGCUGCCGGUCGCCGAUCGGAUCACCGAACUCCUUGAGAGAGGCCGCCAUUGUUUCCAAACGGCGGCAGUAAUCCGUGACGGAGAGAUCGCCCUGCCGGAAGGAGCGAAAUUCGGCCUCCAGCAGCAGCGCACGCGCCUCGCGUUGGCCGAGGAACUCAUCUUCAAGGUACAGCCAGGCAGAUCGGGCCGUGGGGUCGCGGAUCAGCAGCGAUUGUUGGAGAUCGGUGGAGAUGGUGCAGAUGAUCCACGUGAGGACGCAGCUGUCCAUGGUUGCCCACGCGGUGCGGUCGGGGUAGGCGACGUCGGAGAGGGCAUGGUUCUUCAAGUUGUACUUCCCGAGUACGAUCAAGAAGAGGGGCCGCCACCGGCCGUAGUUGUUCGACGCCUUGUCCAGCACCAAGGGGAUCGCGCUCCUGAUGUUGUGGAGGGCGAUCGCCUGGGCAUGGAGGGAUGCGUUGGCGGCCUCCUGGGCGGUGAGCACCUUGUCGAGGGCCUCCGCUUCCUCGCGCUGUUUCUGCGCGGCAGCAGCGGCGGCGGCAGCAUUGGGAUCGGCCAUUAGGGUUUCCUCCUGGCGAGUGAUCGGCGGCAGGAGGGGUGGGAGAUGGCCGGGCCUGGCGAGAAGGACUCGGCGGCAGGCGGGUAGGGUGGCCGGCGAGGGACUCAGCGGCGGCCGUGGGUGGAACCGGCGAGCAGGAGCUCUGGCGGCGGCUAGGGUUGGGCGGAAGCGGGUCCGUGGAAGGACCGGCGUGAUACCAUGAUAGUGAUUGUAAAUGCACGAUGUAUUCCUCAAUAGCAACAGUUGUAUACAUAUAGACCACAUGGGGAGCCUGGUACGGCAGGUCCAUGGGCCGUGACACGUUUACAAUCUAACAGCUUCUUGCCCCCUUCCUUGCAUAUUAUCAUUGGAAUGAGGUUUUGUUUAGUUCAUCCUAAAAUUCAAAAACAUUUCAAGAUUUUUUAUCAUAUCGAAUUUUAUAACACAUACAUGAAACACUAAAUAUAGAUAAAAAAUAAUUAAUUGCGAGACGAAUAAUUUACGAGACGAAUUUUUUAAACCUAAUUAGUUCAUGAAUGACCAAUAAUUAUCAAAUUUAAACAAAAGUAAUAUAUAGUGUCAGAAUCCAAAAAAAUUUUAGAUCUAAACAAGGCCUAAACUACGCGAAGUUUUGGUCUUCGGUUGGUCUCAUGUUUAGAAAUUAUAAACACCUACAGCUUAUUUGGUCUUUUUUUUUUUUUCCUUUCUUCCAGUAAGAUUCUUUUCUAUUUCUCCUGAGGAUCUCCUAUCUAGCUAGAGCUAGGAGCCCACGGUUAAAAGGGUUUCGAAAUAAAAUUUCGAGUCGUCUGGCCAAUUCCACUAUAAACAAACAAAAAAGGCAAUAGCUGUGAAAGAAUCAGACGUCAAUGGAACCUUUUAUAAUUCUAUUAAAUAACUUAUUUAAAUUACUACUGAAUUUUCUUCUGAGUCGAAGUAGCAUCAGACGCCAAAUAAGCUAGCGACGGUUAUUGCGUAUGUGUUAUUGCUUUGUCAAGCAGAAGAAGGCGUGAACCUCCAGUCUCCAGCUAGCGACGGUUCCAAACUCUCCGUGCUUAAAACAAGUCAGCCAACAUUAUUUCUGUCACGGCUUGAAGCCAUGGAUGCAUCAUGGCGAUCUUGUUCACUUGAGCUUAUUAUCUAAAUCUGUCAGUCAUUCAGCAGUGUUUUUUCUCUCAUAACAAAUCAGUUAAUUAACACUACUUAUUAUCAUGGCUUAUCAGCGCCAAACGAAUAAGACGGCGAAGCCCGCGGCAGAAGCGCCCGUUAGCAUCGUCGGCCGGCUAGCCAUCAGCUGCAUGAGGUGCAGGAUAGAUGGCUAGCUUUGAGCAUGGCCUCCUCCACAUGCAUCUACUAAAAGUUCAGCCCUGCUUUCGCUCGCGUGUUUUGUAAAAUCAGGAGGUGGUGGGCGUGGCUAUUUAUAAUGAGGGAGAUUUGGCAAGUGUUAGAAAGGAGGACAAACAGCAAGCGCGUUCCAACUAUGAAAGCUUCCGGGAAGCUACGCUAGCCAUGAUCGAACCACGACGACUACGUCUUCCUAUUCACUUGACGUUGAAUAAGUCAUAGCUAAAAAUACGGUUUAAUUUUAAUGCCAUCCCGAUCGACAAUCGUGACUGGAUGCCUCGGCAUUGACAUAAACCGUGUGAGGACAUCAUUAUCUGCUUUGUUAAUUAAUUACGUUCGGGUAGGGGUACCGAGUACCUCUCCUCGCACUGGCAGUCAUCAGUGCGUUGAUAUGUAGGAAGCUUCGGGACGAGUCGUCUAGCUAACUACAUCUCACAUAAUGCCGCAUCUUCUACUAUACUCCAUACAAAACUCGUACUGAAAUACAUCUAUGGUUAGUUCACCCUAAAAACUAACAAUUUUUUAAUCAUCACAUUGAAUCUUGUGGUACAUGCAUAGAACAUUAAAUAUAGAUGAAAUCAAAAACUAAUUACAGUUUGUCUAUAAAUCGUGAGACGAAUCUUUUAAACCUAGUUACUAUAUGAUUGAACAAUAUUUAUCAAAUAAAAACGAAAGUGCUACAGUUUUCAAAUAUAAAAUCUUUUUAAAUCUAAACAAAGUCUAUAUAUCUCUUCGUAUCCGCUGGCCGUGUGGAGUAAGCUAAAGCCACACGACGGCGACCUGCAAGAGUCCAGACGGCGACCUGCAAGAGUGACGUUAUGAAUACGACGACGGAGAAAAGUAAAAAGCUAUCCUUCUCAUCGUGAGUUAUCACGAAGGAUUAUUUGUCAGUUUGUAUUUUGGCCUUGUUUAGUCUGAUAGGGCACGGGCCCGUAUGACCCGCUUGGCCAUCGGUCAUGCCUCCACAGGUCAUCGUGUCUGCCUAACGGUCCAAACAUUCUUCGAGACGAUCUAGGGUCCGCUAUAUGAAAAACACCAAAUUUAAUAUAAAAUUCAACAAAACUUAAGUAAAUCACAUUCAAAUCAUAAACAUUGAUACUUCACAAUUUACAUAACACAAUAUACUCACAGAUCAUAUUUCACAUGCUAAAAGUCACAAGUUUCACAAGUCACAGAACUUGAUACUUCAACUCUUCAAGCUUCACAAGAUCUCUGAUACCGGGCCGACAUCGUGUCUGCUGUUAAAAGCAGGCCGGACCAGGCCGCCCGGCAGGCCGAGGGGUCGGCCUAAGCACGACCCGCUACGUACUUUGGGCCGGCACGGGCAUGGUUGGGAUCGGACCGUGCCGUGCUCGGACCAGGCCAAAUCACCGUGUUUUGGGCCGUGCCUUUAGCCCGCGAGCUGCAUGCUCAACUUUACUCCAGAGUCGUAUAUUAUCUUCGUCCUUACUACCUCUGUCUUUAAAUAAUUGUCGCUUUUGAUUUUUCUUGCCAUAAAUUUGACUAUAGAAAAUACAUAUAAUAUUUAUACAACCAAAUAAAUUUAAAUAAAAAAAUAGAUUCAAGGACCUAAAUAAUAAUAAUAAUAAUAAUUUUGUAUCAUAAAUAUUAAAAUUUUUAUAUAUAUUUAGUUAAAGUUAUUUAUCAAAAAACAAAGACAAUAAUUAUUUAAAGACGGAGAGAAUAGAUCACUCACGACCUUAUGUCCAUAACUACCAGUAGAGGUGAUGGCGAUUCACGGCGGAGUUAAGAAAUAGCGAGUGCCUUAACUUCUCUUUUUUUUUUCGGGUCCUCCGUUGCUGGAUCUAUUAACUCUCUGUUUUCUUUCACUGCAAAAGUGCAGAGAUGAGAAGCUAAAAAAAAGUGCAGAGAUGUAGAGUGGUAGUAUUUGAUCGGUUAUCGGUAUGUGAUGGUUGACACACUCUCCCUACUUGUAUGAUUUUUGGAUCUAUUUUCUCCUUAACAAAUAUAAUCGAUUCUUGUCUUUUUCUUUUAUUCAAUUGAGUUUUAUUGUCCUGUUGAGAAAAAAAAUCUCAAGUUAAGAUUUUCUCAUUAAUUCCAAUUUAAUUUGUGCAAAACCUUCAGAUUAAAGUAUAAAACUUAAUUCUUCACGGGCUAAGUGGGCUUUCCAACGGGCCAUUAGUUCUAACCUAAAUCAUAACUUUUCUGAUUCCGAAGGGGGGAACUUAGGGAAGGAGCACAAUGAAUCUUCUACUAAUGAGAUUGGAUCUUGAUCGGUGAACUCGGCCAAGAGCCGAAUCAUGGUAUUGAUCAUUGAAAGCCGCUUUUCGCUCAACGGUGAAGAAGUCAGGUCGGAGUUGAUGGUUCAUUGACAUAGGCUCUCUGAGAGUAGUGAUGAACUUGAGGUGACAAUGUGAGAUUUCCUCUAUAAGCUAGAUAGGUUCCCGAUCAUAGAGGUGAAGUUUGCCAAAUCAAUCUUGAUGAAGGCUAGGCUUCCAAAUCAGAAAACCUGGUUGGCGGUGAAGUGGGGGCACAAUGUUUCUCAAUUGGUCGGUAAUAGCAAUGUGCCGGGCCAAUCUAGGACCCAAAAUUACCUUACGUGUAGUAUGGGUAUGGCCAUGGACGGACCUACAGUGUCCGGGUAUUCCCUUGCAUACCCUACAUUUUUGGACAAAAAAUUAAUAGGUAUUUGAGAUAUAUACAUGUAUAAUAUACAUAAGUGUUAAAACUACGUUUCUCUGUGUUUCUAGGUCAUUUUAUUCAACAAUUCACCUCUAACUCAAAAGCAGCCUCAUAAGCCACGCAAAUCCAGACGGUCCAUGACUCAUCUAACCUUCCCACUCACUUUCCCACUCCCCAAAAUCCCAAAACCAUCAGGCCUAGUUCGUAGGGGUAGGGCAGCCGCGCACUCACGCGCAGGUAGGCGCUUCCGCGACUCUCGACCGCUCGCCGCCGCUUUCACCGCGCGCCACCGCACGCGAUUCGCCACUGACCCGCAGGCAGGCGCUGCGGCCUGUGUGGACGCUCGUGUUGCCGCUUCGGCGGCUCCACUCCCCGGCAUCGGGCGUCCCCGCGCCGCCGCGCGGCCAGUCGGCCAUGACCUCCCCUUUGCUUGGACUCAGAGGUAAUAAAACUCAAAUCCCUUUCCUUUUCCCUUUGUUGGUUCUAUUAAAUGUCAUUUUCAAUUGCAAAAAAAAUAUAGAUAUGCAAUGCAUUUGAACUACAUGUAUCUUUUAUCUAAGUAGAUCUAAAUAUUUUGUGUCGUUCAUUAAAAAAAAUUUACCAUGGUGUUGGGUACCAUAAUAAGGGAUACCCAAAUCAGAGCAAUAAAAAGCGCAAAAAAGCAUACUAACCACAAUCAUCAGGGUACGGGCCCCAGUUCAUUCGACUCGCCCGACCCCUCAGGGCCUCGGACGCGAGUCCCGACUCGCCCGACCCCUCAGGGCCUCGGACGCAAGUUCCGACUCGCCCGACCCCUCAGGGCCUCGGACGCGAGUCUCGACUCGCCCGACCCCUCAGGGCCUCAAACGCAAGUUCCGACUCGCCCGACCCCUCAGGGCCUCGGACGCGAGUCCCGACUCGCCCGACCCCUCAGGGCCUCGAACGCAAGUUCCGACUCGCCCGACCCCGUCCAGGCUCGGGCACCGGACCCCACUCCACCUGGGCAGCAAGACUUCCACCGCACGGCGCCCGUACCCAUGACAUGACGGACGCGAUGGCUUCCAUACCACAGCAGGGCAAGGCGACAACUAUUCCAACCACCCUGGGUACUGCAGCAUCACCUUUUUCACUGUGUGCCCUUACCUCUUUCACUGUGGCGUACCGCCUCACAGUGGAAAGGGAAUGGGGGAGGUUAAUCAGCACCACUAUUUGACACCUCUUCCCACUAUUGACGUGAUACGCAGCAGCGCCGGCGACCCGACCCCCAUGACUCCUACAAGGCUCGGUAAACCGCAACAGGAGCGACCAUCCCUCCAGGACAAGACGAACAGGCUUCAACAGGGUCGGAGCUGUAACUCUCCCACUGAGGGAAAUCUACCCAUGUAAAUCCCAGUCUCCCCUUGAGGCUAUAAAAGGGGAGCCAAGGCUCAAAAGAACGAACACACUCACACGCACAACACUCUUUCACAGAGCAGCAAUCCGCACUCUGUCCACCACCAAGCCGAGACCUGGGACUUAGCCCUCUCUCGCAACCUGCUUGUACCCCCUACUACAAGCACCUUUGGGUGCAAGGUUAUACAGGACCCCCGAUCGCACUGGACGUAGGGCAUUCUUGGCCCGAACCAGUAUAAACCCUCUGUGUCUCACUUGCAUCACCAUCCAAGCUUGGUCAGUCACGCAGACUUAUACUUGUUAGUGCUUAGACCACGAAUCUAGACGCCGACAGUUGGCGCGCCAGGUAGGGGCCUUCUGCGUGACGCUCGCCAGUCCGUACUGGGAAGUCUUGGAUGGCAGACGGAUUUCACCCGCUCCGUCGCGGCACCAUCAUGACGUUUGGGAGUUUGGAGUUCAUGUCCCUCGGUUCCGGCUACGACAUGGUCCUCCUCCCGCCACGUGGUGACGUCGAGCCUAGUCCCGAGCCGAUCCCACCACAGUCAGUGCGUGGGAGCCGUUUGGGACACCGUGCGGGGGGCUCACGGAGGGGGCGUCAGAGAUCUAGGAUCUCCGACCCUACCACUGAGGCUAGGACCCAUCUGGCCCUCCCCCCGCAUAUUCCUCACCAGAUCGCCCGUUCCUCCGGCCCGACAGGCGCUAGAGGAAGGGCUCGCGGGGCAUCAAGCUCCGGUCCCAGGACCAACAGAGGAUCAUCGCGGCCUCCCGUUCCGCCCCGGUCAAAGGGGAAGGCACGGCCCGCGCCCGUCCCCCGCAAGGGGGACAAAGGGACCUCAACAUCUCGUCCUCCUCCACCUCUGGAUGAAGGAGAAAUAGCGGCACCUCCCGAAUUACCUUUCGGCCUCAGGAACGCCGCCGCCACCUACGCCUCUUCCGUGAGCACUUCGCUAAGUGCAUACGCGGACCUUCAAGGACACCACCUAAGGUCUACCCUGGACCUCAUCUCCACACCACCCGUUUCGUCAUACCCAGAGGACCCUACCUCAGGCGACGACGAGUGGGCUGGCGCUGACCUUUCCGGGUGCGGCGACCCAGAGACCUUCAUCCGCUUCUUGGAAGCCAGCAACUACUGUCUCGGCUACUCCAACUCCGACGACGAAAGCCACGACCCGUCGCGAGAAUGUUUUAACCUAGAAGUCGGAGGCACGCCGCAUAACGCCCAGGGGGGCGCAGGACCCUCUAGGCAGGAGAAUGUGACGCCACCUCCCAACCCGACUCCCGGAACCGAUCUCGGAGCCCGUGGGGUAGCGUCGGCCCCCGUUGGAGGGCACCGCCCUGACCUCGUGCAGCUCGAUGAGCUAGAGGCCAGGCUCGAAGAAGAACGCACACGCCUCCGCCAACUCCGCGAGGCCUUGGUCCGAGACCCGGCUGGCCGCGGAGAUGGGGGUGAAGCUAGACGUCGCGCACGUGACGUCAAUCGUCGCAUUGUCGAGGGCCAAGGGGGUGACGCCCCAGUCUUCAGCACGGCCAGCCAGAACGUGAUGGCCGCCGCGCUCCUCCUCAGGGCGAUGCCCGAGCCAUCGACCCCUGAGGGAAGAAGAGUGCGCCAGGGGCUACGUGGCCUCCUGGAGCAGGCUGUGGUGCAGAACGCGGAAAGUUCUGCGUCACAAUCCCACGGCACGAGACGCUAGGGGGACCGACCCCCUCCGAACAAGGCACCAACCGUACAGGGUCCGCCGCCCCCUAAUCCGCAAGGGGGCAACAGGGCCCCGUCAGUUCACGAACGCGUCGGAGCUGACGCGGACGUGCGGGCCACCCUCGAGGCCAGACGACGUGACAGGGACGAGGCCGAGUCGAGGCGCUACCGACCGCGCCGAGGCGGAAGGUACGACCCCGAUCACGACCGCAGCACGUCACCAGAGCCCCUGGGUCCCCGCGUCUUCAGCGAGGCCAUACGCAGGGCCAAGUUCCCGGCGCGAUUCCGACAGCCCGCCAACCUCACCAAGUACUCAGGGGAAACGAACCCUGAGCUCUGGCUGGCGGAUUACCACCUAGCAUGCCAGCUGGGCGGCGCGGAUGACGACCUGCUCAUCAUCCGCAACCUCCCACUCCACCUGGCCGAUACGGUCAGGGCAUGGCUCGAGCACCUCCCUGAGCGCAUGAUCCACGACUGGGCUGACCUGGUCAGGAUCUUUGUCGGGAACUUCCAGGGCACAUACGUGCACCCUGGGAACUCCUGGGACCUCAGGAGCUGCCGGCAGAAGCCUGAUGAGUCCCUCCGAGACUUCAUCAGGCGAUUCUCCAAACAGUGCACCGAGCUCCCCAACAUCACGGAUUCCGACGUGAUCGGAGCCUUCAUUUCCGGCACCACCUGCAAGGAGUUGGUACACGAGCUCGGACGCAAGACCCCCACGAGCACUAGCCAGCUGCUCGACAUCGCCACCAACUUUGCCUCAGGCGAAGAGGCAGUCGGCGCCAUUUUCUCCGACGACGCAGCUAAAGGAAAGCAGAAGGCCGAGGCCACCGAAGCCUCAGGAUCACGCGACCCCAAGAAGAAGAAGAAGGGUCGCAAGGGGAAGCAGGGUCAGUCGGACGACAACCUAGUCGCCGCGGCUGAUCGCAAGAACCCCAAAAGGGCUCCUGCUGGCCCCGGUCACUUCGACGAAAUGUUGAAAAAGCCGUGCCCCUAUCACAGGGGGCCAACCAAGCACACCCUUGAGGAGUGCACAGUCCUCCGUCGGUACUAUACCGACAUCAUCACCAAGGAGAGUGCCGAAGAGCCUCCCAAGGACGACGACCCUGAGGGGGAGUCUUUCCCCAAGAUCAAGAACUGCCUUCUAAUCUUUGGGGGACGUGCGGCUCGCCUCACUGCGAGUCAGAGGAAGCGCGAACUCCGAGAAGUUUGCGCAGUCAGCGCAGCUGCGCCCUCGUAUCUUAAAUGGUCCGAGAGCGCAAUCACGUUCGAUCGACAGGAUCACCCGGAUCGGAUUCCCAAUCCCGGGAGCUAUCCGUUGAUCGUCGACCCCAUCAUCGCCGAGACCCGUCUCACUAAGGUGCUGAUGGAUGGAGGCAGCGGUCUCAACAUACUCUACGCCGAGACUCUGGCCCUCAUGGGGAUCAGCAAGUCCCGGCUGAGGAACGACACAGCGCCAUUCCAUGGAGUAGUGCCUGGACAUCGUGCCCACCCCCUCGGACAAAUCGAUCUGCCCAUCUGCUUCGGGACCCCCGACAACUUCAGACGGGAGGUCCUCACUUUCGACGUGGUCGGGUUCCCAGGGACCUACCACGCGAUCCUCGGACGACCAUGCUACGCCAAGUUCAUGGCCGUCCCCAACUACACCUACCUCAAGCUCAAGAUGCCAGGGCCAAAGGGCAUCAUCACCAUCAGCACGACCAGUCAGCACGCCUACCAGUGCGACGUCGAGUGCAUUGAGCAGGCCGAGGCUCUGGCUGAGUCUCUGGCCAUCCUCACCGGCCUCGGCGACUGUGACCAGGACGUCCCCGACCCCAAGCGUCAUGCCGGGAGCUUCGAGCCGGCAGAGGAGACCAAGCUAGUUUUCCUCGACCCCGGGACCUCUGAAGGCAAGGCGUUGAGAAUUAGCUCCAGCCUCGACCCCAAAUAGGAAGUGGUGCUCGUCGACUUUCUCCGCGCAAACGCCGAUAUAUUUGCGUGGAGUCCCUCGGACAUGCCUGGAAUACCGAGGGAAGUCGCCGAGCACUCCUUGGACAUCCGAGCCGGCUCCAAACCCGUGAAACAAUGCCUGCGCCGAUUCGACGAGGAGAAGCGUCGGGCCAUCGGGGAGAAGAUCCACAAGCUGCUGACGGCCGGAUUCAUCAAGGAGGUAUUCCAUCCCGAGUGGUUAGCCAACCCCGUGCUAGUUAAAAAGAAGAAUGGGAAGUGGAGGAUGUGUGUAGAUUAUACUAGUUUAAAUAAAGCAUGUCCAAAGAAUCCCUUUCCAUUACCUCGUAUUGAUCAGAUAGUUGACUCUACCACGGGAUGUGAAAUUUUGUCUUUUCUUGAUGCUUAUUCCGGCUACCACCAAAUCAAGAUGAAAGAGUCCGACCAGCUCGCGACUUCAUUCAUCACCCCUUUCGGAAUGUAUUGCUACGUAACCAUGCCUUUUGGCCUCAAGAACGCGGGGGCUACAUAUCAACGAUGUAUGCUCCAGGUUUUUGGGAACCUGAUAGGCAAAACGGUAGAGGCUUAUGUAGACGACAUUGUUGUCAAGUCCAGGAAAGCGAGCGGUCUGGUUGCCGACCUGGAAGAAACAUUCCGAUGCCUUAGGGCGAAAGGGAUCAGACUCAACCCCGAAAAGUGCGUUUUCGGGGUCCCCCGAGGCAUGCUCCUUGGGUUUAUUGUGUCUGAGCGGGGGAUCGAGGCCAACCCAGAAAAGGUCUCGGCCAUCGCAAAUAUGGGCCCGAUUCGUAACCUAAAGGGAGUACAAAGGGUGAUGGGAUGUCUAGCCACCCUAAGCCGUUUCAUUUCUCGCCUCGGGGAAAAAGGACUGCCUCUGUAUAGGUUACUUAGGAAAUCUGAGCACUUUUCCUGGACCCCCGAGGCCCAGGAAGCCCUUGACAAGCUCAAGGCUCUGCUCACCAACCCUCCCAUCCUGGUGCCCCCCGCCGAGGGGGAACCACUACUUCUCUACGUCGCAGCCACUGAUCAGGUGGCCAGCGCAGCUAUCGUGGUCGAGAGGAAGGAAGAAGGGCACGCCCUGCCGGUCCAAAGGCCGGUAUACUUAGGAAAUCUGUAUAGGUUACUUAGGAAAUCUGAGCACUUUUCCUGGACCCCCGAGGCCCAGGAAGCCCUUGACAAGCUCAAGGCUCUGCUCACCAACCCUCCCAUCCUGGUGCCCCCCGCCGAGGGGGAACCACUACUUCUCUACGUCGCAGCUACUGAUCAGGUGGCCAGCGCAGCUAUCGUGGUCGAGAGGAAGGAAGAAGGGCACGCCCUGCCGGUCCAAAGGCCGGUAUACUUCAUUAGUGAAGUACUCUCCGACACAAAGACUCGAUACCCCCAGAUCCAAAAAUUACUCUACGCUGUAGUGUUGGCCCGGCGCAAGCUCAGACAUUACUUUGAAUCUCACCCGGUCUCAGUGGUCUCAUCUUUCCCUUUGGGAGAAGUGAUUCAGAACCGAGAGGCCAACGGAAGGAUUGCCAAAUGGGCCAUAGAGAUCAUGGGCGAUGGGAUCACCUAUGAGCCUCGCAGAGCCAUAAAGACCCAGGUCCUGGCACACUUUGUGGCGGAAUGGACUGUGACUCAGUUCCCGCCACCUCAAAUCCCGCACGAGUGCUGGACCAUGUACUUCGACGGGUCUUUGAUGAAAACCGGGGCCGGCGCGGGCCUAAUCUUCAUCUCACCCCUCGGGGUAAGGAUGCGAUACGCAAUCCGGCUCCAUUUCCCUGCUUCAAACAACGCAGCAGAGUACGAGGCCCUUGUUAACGGUCUCCACAUCGCGAUCGAGCUUGGGAUCAAACGGCUCGACAUCCGAGGCGAUUCUAGACUCAUCAUCGAUCAAGUCAUGAAAGAGUCUAGCUGCCAUGACCCCAAGAUGGACGUGUACUGCAAAGCGGUUCGACGCCUGGAAGAAAAGUUCGACGGCCUCGAACUUAACCACGUGUUAAGGAAGUAUAACGAGGCCGCCGACGCGCUCGCCAAGAUGGCAUCCGAGCGGGCCAUGGUCCCCCAGGAUGUUUUCGUCAGCGACCUCUACAAGCCUUUCGUCGACUACAAGGACGACGGGGGGUCGGACGAACCCCCAAGCAAACAGAGUUCCGACCCCAAAGACGCUGCCGCUCAAGAACAGGAGGCCAUGGACAUCGAGCCAGAGCCACCUGCACCUGACGACUCCCCCGACUGGCGCUACCCUUUGCUUCAACGCCUGGUUGACGGCGCUUUGCCCCUGGACCAGGCCGAAGCGAGGCGCGUGGCUCGUCGUGCCAAGACCUUUGUCCUCCUUGAUGGGGAGAUAUACAAGCGAAGCCCCUCGGGCGUCCUCAUGCGGUGCAUCCCACGUCAAGAGGGGGUCAAGCUCCUACAGGACAUUCACUCGGGGGCUUGUGGCCAUCACGCCGCGCCCCGGACGUUGGUAGGAAAUGCCUUCCGACAAGGCUUCUACUGGCCCACCGCCGUAGCCGACGCCACAGAGAUCGUCAGGGCCUGUAAGGGAUGCCAGUUUUACGCUCGCCAGAUACAUCUACCCGCUCAGGCCCUGCAAACGAUCCCCAUCACCUGGCCUUUCGCUGUCUGGGGCCUCGACCUGGUCGGGCCUCUGCAGAAAGCACCCGGGGGCUUCACCCACUUGCUUGUCGCAAUCGACAAGUUCUCCAAGUGGAUCGAAGUCCGACCCAUUGCAAGGAUAAAGGAUGAGCAAGCAGUGUUGUUCUUCACAGACAUCAUCCAUCGAUUUGGGGUACCGAACUCCAUAAUCACCGACAACGGCACACAGUUCACCGGACGAAAGUUCUUGCAGUUCUGCGACAGACACCACAUACGUGUGGACUGGGCGGCAGUGGCUCACCCCAAGACCAACGGUCAAGUGGAGCGUGCCAAUGGCAUGAUCCUCCACGGUUUGAAGCCCAGGAUUUUCAACCGUCUGAACAAGUUUGGAAAAAGGUGGCUCAAAGAGCUACCAGCCGUGGUCUGGAGUCUGAGAACCUCCCGAAGCCGAGCCACAGGCUUCACCCCGUUCUUCAUGGUCUACGGGUCGGAAGCCGUCCUCCCCACUGAUCUGGAAUACGGGUCCCCGAGGGUACAAGCCUACGACGAAAAUAGCGGUAAGACGUUCCAAGAAGACGCGCUGGACCAGCUGGAUGAAGCCAGGGAUGUAGCCCUCCUACACUCCGCCAAAUACCAGCAGACCCUCCGCCGAUACCACGCACGACGAAUCCGAGGCCGAGCCUUUCAAGUCGGCGACUUGGUGCUAAGGCUCAGACAGAGCAACAAGGGUCGUCACAAGCUCACACCCCCCUGGGAAGGACCUUUCGUCAUCACCGAGGUUCUCCGGCCCGGCACCUACAAGCUCGCCAAUGAAGCGAGAGAGGUCUUCAAAAACGCAUGGAACAUAGAACAACUACGUCGCUUUUACCCUUAGAACUUUUGUAAUAAUUUUUUGUUUGUUCAUCACCUUGGAAGAAUAAAUGAAAAUUUAAGUCAUAUGGCCCUUUUCUAUCAGGGAGCCUCGGACCUGCCCAGCAGAGUCCGAGCCUCCCACGGGGGCUACAUAGGGGGGAACCCCCCGUGUCAACUCCAAAUCUUUUUCCUUUUUUCGUGCAAGUCAAAAGAACUCCGAACCAAGGUCUUUCCCCUUUUCUCUUAGAAAGUUUUAAGAAAACUGGAAAUUCGCCCCACAAAUCUUAAGGCAUGAGCCCUAGGAAAGGCCAACGCUCACGAGCAAAAGACCGCUCCUACUCACCUUAGAUUCGGGGGACGGAUUCGGACUUCUAAAAACUACUAAGGGAAAAGGGAAAAGGACUUAGGCUUGGGGUUUCUGGCUAUCGCAAGUAGCUUACCCGACCUCGCGCUGCCGAGGUUGGAUCGGCAUAAGGAAAAAGAAAAUAAGACAUUUACGAAAAAAGCUUAAAGAGCAAUUACACAAAUAUCUACAUUCAACAUUAAACAUUGUAUAAUACAAGGCCUGCUGGCCUCAACACCCACAAAAAAAAGAAAACUAAGAAUCCUACUGCCCUGUCUGCCCAGGUCCUUGGGCCCCGAGGGGGGAAGCUCCGCCUCAUCGUCGAAGAAGGUGGCCAAGGCAUCUCCAGGGACAGUCGCGGCGUCGUCAAGCCUCUGCACCUCCUCCUGGGCCUCUGUUUCGUCAUCCGGGAGAACGUAGCCCUCACAGACUGCCGGCAAGUCAAUGCCGGCAUAGUGAGAGCUCACCACCACCAGGGCUUUCUUCACCCCGGUGUGGAGCGCCUCCCUCAUCCUCUCCCCGGCCCGGGAGUAAAGGGCUUCGACCCGACCGCGCAGCGACGACCCCGACACCGAUACCCCGAGCCCCUCACACGCCGAGGUGACCAUGCCUUCAAGAGCCGAGCGGUCUGAAGCCUCGGCGUCAAGGGACUUUUGCAGGGCCUCGGCAGUAGAGGUCGUCUCGACCACCUUCAUCUCCAAUUCUGAUUGAAAAAUACAACAAGAAACAAGGAGUCAGGAAAGACUAAUUCAAAAGUACAAAGGGGACCAAGGUAAAGGGCGCAAGUCUUACCCUCGGCACGCUUCUCGUGCUCCGCCGAGCUCUGAUGCCAGUGGGCCACCUGGCUCAGAGCCCCGGCUAGGUCGGUCUGAGCUUAGUUCAAGGCGAGGUCUUUUUCAGCGAGCAAAGCUUCAAGCCGAGCAACCUCACCCUUGUACCCCUCAGCCGCCGCCUUCUGCACCUCGGUUUCCUGGGCAAGGACCCCAAUCCUCUCCUCCAGGGGGCCGACCUUGUCCCGGGCCUCCCGAGCCUCGGAAGCCAGCGCCGAGCACUUCUGCCGAAGCUCGGCAGAAAUCUCGCACUCCUUCGCGAGCUCCCCCUCAGCCGCCUCCCUGGCGGCCCUCUCGUUCUCAAAGGACGCCCAAGCAUCCCUUUCCCGACGGAGAAAUACCGACUUCUCCUGAGAGGUGGCCUUGAGCGCCUACAAGAACAGAGGUCACACAGGGAGUUAAUAUCGCAAAAGUAAGGACAAAACUACUUCACAACACGGGUAAAAAUCUUACCUGAGCCAGAUUAAACAUGUCACGGCCCACGAGCUGAGAAGCUCGGUUCAGGGCCUCGACACCGGCGCGCCCACACGCGUCCAGACCCUGCCAGAGGUAGUUCUUUAACGGGUCAUCCAGAACGAAUCUGGCUCCGAUGCCGAGGUUGGGCCAGAUUACGGGGCUCUUACCCCAUCCGGCAUCUCCCUCUCCCGCUGCGGGGGCCUCGGGCGCCGCGCUGGACGCCACGAUGGCUCGGCCUUCCUCAGCAUGCGCAGGCCAGGCCGCACCUCCCAGGUCAGCAUCCUCCGGUCCUUGGGGCUUCGGCACCCCCGUGUCCUGCCUCUGGUGGCGCCCUCCCUCCUCGAAGCCCGACGGCGGCGGCGACGCGGGCCUAGCCGACCCAGGAGUCGACUGAGCCCCCCUCUUCACAGCCUUCAGGGGGGGCAAGUGCCACCGAAGGCGCCUUUUGCUUACGGCUGGGGGAAUAACUCUAGGUUAGAAGAAAGAGAAAAACAAAAAAUCAGCAGAGGGAUCAGAAAUCCUAUACAUACCUCGCUCGGGGAGCAGACUUCUUCUGGGAGCUCGGAGCUCCUUGGGGGCCUCCCGCAGCACCAGAGGCCGUCGGGCCGACCUCCGCCUCGCCCACCGACGGCGCAGGAGGUACCACGAUGGUCUCAGCCGGCGACGCCUCCACCGAGACGCCGUUUCCCGCCCCGGACGCUGGGGAGGGCUCGGCCAGAGCCUCUGGCACUACCGGUUGAGGUGGCGCCUCGAAUCCAACCCCCGACGCCUUCUCCCCCUCUUGAGGACCCACGGGGGCUGAACCCUCACCAGGGGCGCUGUCCUCGUCAUCCACGAUGAUGUGGAGGACGGCCUGUCCGCCCUCCGGCGCCUGGAUCCCCGCGGGAGCCUCCGACCCCCCUCGGGCCUCCGACCCCUCCGGGGCCUCGAUCCCCCCGCCGGCAGGAGGGAUCACGUCAUCCUCCUCCGCCAACUCGUCGAGCCAGUCGGCGUUGUCUCCUCCGCCCUCUAUCUCCGAGACUGAAGUCUCAGGAGACGGAGGCGGGGCGACCCCCGCCUUCUCGGCUUCACGGCGGUUCUUGGAGGCGAUCUCCUGCCUCUCCGCCUUUCGCGCCGCCUUGGCUUUCUUGUCUUCCUUGGCCUUCUUUUGCUCCUCGUUCCGGGCCCGAUUCUUGGCCCGGAUCUCUUUGUCCUCCGGGACAGGGGGCGGGGAAUCCUUGACGGCCCCGAUCCCCUGUGGGGCAAGCAGAUCAACAGGGAAUCAGGCGAAAGAAAAAACGGGAGCAAGAGAUCGAAAUAAAAGGACACCUUCUUACCAAGGAAAUGUAGCCCUUUUCAGGGCGCAUCGGGACCACCCGGGAAUUCUUCAUCUCCGGGUGCGUCGUCUUCUCGACCCGGGCGGUGAUGUACGAGGCCGAUAUCGGCUCGGCUAACAUCCUCGUCCCUGCCCGAGGGACGUCCCGGGUCAUCUCGAACAUGGGCACCCGGCGCUGCGCCAGCGGAAGCAGGCUCCUCUUAUGGAACGCUAUUGCCACCGUGGCCGCAGUGACUCGGGCCUCUCGCAGCUUCUGAAGCCCUGCAAGAAGCGGGGCGAGCUUCUUCUGCUCCUCUGACGGAGCGCCCCACACCCACUUCUGGGGGGCCUCCGUCACCAUCUUCCCGGUAUACUUCGGCAGAAGACCACCGUCGUUCCGGAGGUAGAACCACGAGCUCUGCCACCUCCGGUUUGACGACGGCAUCGAGCUCCAGAUGUACAAUCCGGACCGUUGCUGGCGAAGCUGCAGCGUGCAGCCGCCGGCUCGCAGGGGGAUCUUCUCUUUCCCCAUGUAACGGGCCGACAUGUCCGCCUUGAAGAGGUGAAGCCAGAGGUUCCAAUUGACAGGAACCCCCAGGAACCCCUCGCAAACCAUGGCGAAGACGGCGGCUUGCAUCACCGAGUUGGGAUUCAGGUUGUGUAGCUCCACCUCGUAGUAGUGGAGGAUAGCCCUGAUCAGGCGACCGGCUGGAAUCCCGAACCCCCGGUCUAAGAACGACAGGAAGCAAACCACAUAGCCCGGCGGCGGGUUUGGCUCCCUGUUGUUCGCCGAAGGAACGAUCCACUCCGGGAACCCGACAUCCUUGAGAGGACGGAGAAUCCCGGCCUUCACGCGCGCCUCCAGCGCGGACUUGGUCACGUUGUAGGGCGGCCACGCCUCAACGCCGGCCAUGGCUUUGGGAAGAAGAGGAGUGUCUGCGCGGCGGAAGUGGAGGAGACAGCGGCAGAAGAGAGGGCAGGAGGCAAGGGCUUUGUGGCGCGGGAGCGAGAGGAAAGAAAUCAAGCCCCCAGCAGCCGCUUUUAUAGAAGGGGCGAGCCACGACCACGCCCCUGCGAGGAAGGCCAAGCGGGAGAGAGAGCAACCGUCGCCCACUCAGGUGAAAAACUCGAAGCGCCAACUCCCUCCGAUUCCCGCGCCCGCCGCACGCGCGCAUUAAUUUCGCAGGCGAAACGUCCCAUCCAGCCUGGGCGAGACGGCACGGCCAUUUCGAGUCCCCACGCGCCGCGCCUCAAAAGGAGCGCCCUGAAAAGUUAUGUCAGGACGGUUCCUUCCAGGGGACGCGGCGCCCGACCCCCAGCGGACUAAGCGUCGCAGGGAGGUCUCCGUCGGACGCAGGAUUCCGUCUCGCCCGACCCCAUCAAGACCCCGAGCUAAAAUUGCGAGGCGGUUUCCCAUCGGGCGCGGAUUCUGUCUCGCCCGACCCCGACACUACAGAACGAGUCUGAAGAAAGCCUUUCGAGGCCCAAAAUCCCCAGGCCAUGGCCACCUACGUUCCAGAGGUUGCGAGACUGACAUGCGACACAGGUUCGAACAGUCGCCUCAGGAUAACUGAGCGAGGGAUGACUGAAGAUGAGCACAAUAGAGGCCAAGGUCCGAACCCUGCAGGGAGUCGGCGCAUCUUUACAAGUCAUAUCCGAGACCCAUGCGGGUGUCACGUGAGUGGGAUCCCAUCGAGGGAGGCAUCGAGCCCUCGGAACCUAACGAAUGGUUCCGACAUCCACCGUGACUGCCCUCGGGUACUUUUUGAGAUGUGCCCAUAAGGCCACUAGCCGACCCCAAUCGAACGGGACUCGGACAUCCACUUGGAUCUACCCGCAUGCAGCUCCCGGGAAGCGUCGUCACUCGCCCAUCGAGGGUAGUACGGCACGACCCACCCCUCCUCCGAGCGAAAGGAAGAAUGAGGGACGUAAUUACAAGACGAGAAAGAACCUGAUCGACCCUUGCGGGGAAAGGGCUCGGGGGCUUCCUCGCACCGUGGGAACAGGCACUACGUGUAAAGAACACGCAACCUAUCCCUUAAAACACUCCAGACUAUAGCUGUCAAGGGGUGAAAGCCUUUGAAGGAAUAACACCAUUCCUCCAAAAGGCUCGGGGGCUACACCCGGCGGGUGCGCUCGCGCGCACCCCCCGGAGAAAAGUGAAAGGCUCCUAGUCAACUACAGUCCCUGGGGAAAGAACCUCUAAAGAGGUGACCUCACCCCUUCAGAGGCUCGGGGGCUACUGUUGGGUACCAUAAUAAGGGAUACCCAAAUCAGAGCAAUAAAAAGCGCAAAAAAGCAUACUAACCACAAUCAUCAGGGUACGGGCCCCAGUUCAUUCGACUCGCCCGACCCCUCAGGGCCUCGGACGCGAGUCCCGACUCGCCCGACCCCUCAGGGCCUCGGACGCAAGUUCCGACUCGCCCGACCCCUCAGGGCCUCGGACGCGAGUCUCGACUCGCCCGACCCCUCAGGGCCUCAAACGCAAGUUCCGACUCGCCCGACCCCUCAGGGCCUCGGACGCGAGUCCCGACUCGCCCGACCCCUCAGGGCCUCGAACGCAAGUUCCGACUCGCCCGACCCCGUCCAGGCUCGGGCGCCGGACCCCACUCCGCCUGGGCAGCAAGACUUCCACCGCACGGCGCCCGUACCCACGACAUGACGGACGCGAUGGCUUCCAUACCGCAGCAGGGCAAGGCGACAACUAUUCCAACCACCCUGGGCACUGCAGCAUCACCUUUUUCACUGUGUGCCCUUACCUCUUUCACUGUGGCGUAUCGCCUCACAGUGGAAAGGGAAUGGGGGAGGUUAAUCAGCACCACUAUUUGACACCUCUUCCCACUAUUGACGUGAUACGCAGCAGCGCCGGCGACCCGACCCCCAUGACUCCUACAGGGCUCGGUAAACCGCAACAGGAGCGACCAUCCCUCCAGGACAAGACGAACAGGCUUCAACAGGGUCGGAGCUGUAACUCUCCCACUGAGGGAAAUCUACCCAUGUAAAUCCCAGUCUCCCCUUGAGGCUAUAAAAGGGGAGCCAAGGCUCAAAAGAAGGAACACACUCACACGCACAACACUCUUUCACAGAGCAGCAAUCCGCACUCUGUCCACCACCAAGCCGAGACCUGGGACUUAGCCCUCUCUCGCAACCUGCUUGUACCCACUACUACAAGCACCUUUGGGUGCAAGGUUAUACAGGACCCCCGGUCGCACUGGACGUAGGGCAUUCUUGGCCCGAACCAGUAUAAACCCUCUGUGUCUCACUUGCAUCACCAUCCAAGCUUGGUCAGUCACGCAGACUUAUACUUGUUAGUGCCUAGACCACGAAUCUAGACGCCGACACAUGGGCAUACCCUGCUCCUAAUUCCUGGGUCCGCCACUGGGUAUGGCACUGGUUGAUCAGUUCCCAACCUACAUGCAUGGCUAAUUGUAUAGUAGUAGUUUUCAGAUCUAAUUUUCUUAUAAAUUAGACUAAUUCGUUUUUCUUGUAAUAAUAAUACAGUUCUUCCCGUCCUUUCCAAAAAAAAAAUGCACAAGAUGACACAAAACAACACAUGACUUACGAAAAUGUUCUCUUUUUUUUUAUAAAUUGGGUACAACUACAUUACUCUUGGGCUGACAAUCGUCAGCGACAAUUACAUUACAUGUUCACGGGGGGAGCUUAUAAUUUGCUCGAGCCUGCCCACACAUUCAUACCCACUAGCAGCUAAUCCAUGAACCGCUCUAUUACAAUCUCUAGGAACAUAUAACACAUUGGAAGCUACUAAAGUUCACGCGCGCCAGAAAUUUUAACUCGCAGUCAGCCCCAUCUGAAGAGCUGGCAAGGUUCUCAUCUAGAUAGGUAACAGACUUCAUAAAUACAAGACACAAUACUUGACACAAAUAAUAGGAUUUGGAUCUAACAUAGUUCUAACUCAGUCUUUAGAGCUGAACACAUUAUUACAAAAGAAGGCUUGUUCUGACUGUUCAAAAACCUGAUGUUUCCGCUUUUUGGCUCUGCAAUGGCAUAAAUUGUUCAUACAAUCGACUACACACAAAAAGACGGCUCGGAUAAAGAAUUGAUGAUUUGCUACAAAGCAAUUUCUUCCAAGACAGUCGGAUAAAGAGUCGAUGAUUCGCCAUAGAGAAAUUCCGCCUCAAUGACAAUUGAAUUGCCUUAUUAAUUCAGAGACCGAGAAGCCGAUGAUCACUUCUCUUUGUAGACAAAGAACGCGACGAAGCCUCCUGCAAUGGUCGCAAAGGCCAUCAGCCAAACGACCACGGCCAUGGGCGCUGGCAUGAUGGCGGCAACUUUGUAGGAGAAGCUGAACGUCAGCAGAGUAGUCAGUAUCCAUACAGCGAUCUUGAGCCACUCCCUCUUGGACGACCCAGCACGGGCACGCUCGUACAUCCUCAGGCAGACAAAAAGCGCGACGAGGAUGGCAUAGGCAAAACCGACGAAGGCGAUGGCCAUCACAUCGCCUUGGGAUCGGAUGAUGGCCAUUGCCGCGUUGAAGCUGAGGAUGAGGAAACCCAAAACGGUCGGCCAGGGGAAGCAGCUGUUAUCACCAUUGUUCUCCGGUUGGGGGUGGUGGUUGGCCUCCUGAUCGACCAGGAGACGCUCAUCCACCGCGGCGGCAUUCACUGGCUGACCGGCCAUGGCUGCUUGGGGCGCCGUCAUGACUGGAGGUGAGGGCUCUUCGUCGAGCUAGGAAAGUGGGUUUUGUGGGUGGAAACAGAAUGUAGCAGGAAAGCUUGGGUUGUAGGAGAGAAAAAGCUUUCACAAUCUCAAGCUAAAGCAAACGAGAACAUCUUCACGGCGCAACUCUGAACUAGAACAGACUGCAACAUAAUAAUCUGCUUCUUACCAGCUUGAAGGCCACGCUUGUUUCA
Molecule: long non-coding RNA, 26060 nt
Filed under: Sorghum bicolor (sorghum)
Lineage: Eukaryota; Viridiplantae; Streptophyta; Magnoliopsida; Poales; Poaceae
Description: long non-coding RNA (SBIC_LNC006043)
Source: RNAcentral